AACGAACGCUGGCGGCGUGCCUAACACAUGCAAGUCGUGCGAGAAAGUUCCUUCGGGAGCGAGUAAAGCGGCGCACGGGUGAGUAACACGUAGGUAACCUGCCCCCCAGUCUGGAACAACUAGAGGAAACUACUAGCUAAUGCCGGAUGAGACCACGAUCCCUUCGGGGGUUGGCGGCCAAAGAUGGCCUCUACUUGUAAGCUAUCGCUGAGGGAUGGGCCGUGCGGGCCAUUAGCUUGUUGGUGAGGUAACGGCUCACCAAGGCUGUGAUGGCUAGCUGGUCUGAGAGGAUGACCAGCCACACUGGGACUGAGACACGGCCCAGACUCCUACGGGAGGCAGCAGUGGGGAAUAUUGCGCAAUGGGCGAAAGCCUGACGCAGCGACGCCGCGUGGGUGAUGAAGGCCUUGGUCGUAAGACCUCGUCGCAGGGGAAGGAAUAAGACAUCGGUAUAAUACGCCGGUGCCUCGACGGUACCCUGCAAGAAAGACACCGGCUAACUACGUG
Molecule: ribosomal RNA, 507 nt
Filed under: uncultured bacterium
Lineage: Bacteria
Description: bacterial SSU rRNA
Rfam family: Bacterial small subunit ribosomal RNA
Source: RNAcentral